This 73-nucleotide transfer RNA is filed under the name Stegodyphus mimosarum. It matches the Rfam family "tRNA". From Rfam's summary of the family: Transfer RNA (tRNA) molecules are approximately 80 nucleotides in length. Their secondary structure includes four short double-helical elements and three loops (D, anti-codon, and T loops). Lineage: Eukaryota; Metazoa; Arthropoda; Arachnida; Araneae; Eresidae. The record is from Rfam by way of RNAcentral.
GCGUUCGUGGUGUAGUGGUCAGCAUGACCGACGCGUAACCGAGAGGUCCGUGGUUCGAUUCCCGGCGAAGGCG